UUGACCUCGGAUCAGGUAGGGAUACCCGCUGAACUUAAGCAUAUCAAUAAGCGGAGGAAAAGAAACCAACAGGGAUUGCCUCAGUAACGGCGAGUGAAGCGGCAACAGCUCAAAUUUGAAAUCUGGCCCUUGCUGGGUCCGAGUUGUAAUUUGUAGAGGAUGCUUCGGGUUCGGCUCCGGUCUAAGUUCCUUGGAACAGGACGUCACAGAGGGUGAGAAUCCCGUACGUGACCGGCCGCCACGCCCGUGUGAAGCUCCUUCGACGAGUCGAGUUGUUUGGGAAUGCAGCUCAAAAUGGGUGGUAAAUUUCAUCUAAAGCUAAAUACCGGCCAGAGACCGAUAGCGCACAAGUAGAGUGAUCGAAAGAUGAAAAGCACUUUGGAAAGAGAGUUAAAAAGUACGUGAAAUUGUUGAAAGGGAAGCGCUUGCAAUCAGACUUGCCCGCGGGUGAUCAGCCGGUAUUUUUACUGGUGCACUCGCCCGUGGUCAGGCCAGCAUCGGUUUGGGCGGCUGGACAAAGACCCCUGGAAUGUAGCUCCUCUCGGGGAGUGUUAUAGCCGGAGGUGCAAUGCAGCCAGCCCGGACCGAGGACCGCGC
This 597-nucleotide ribosomal RNA is filed under the name Acarospora scabrida. RNAcentral describes it as "Myriospora scabrida LSU rRNA". It matches the Rfam family "Eukaryotic large subunit ribosomal RNA", at positions 1 to 600 of the family's 3401-position model. The record is from RNAcentral. Lineage: Eukaryota; Fungi; Ascomycota; Lecanoromycetes; Acarosporales; Acarosporaceae.